GGGAAUAUUUUUUACAGUUUGAGAAAUGCUAGUCUAUACCCAGUUUUUCAAAACAAAAAAGAAACAAACACAUUAAAGCAUUCUUUUUUAACUCAUAGGGUUCUGAAUUUUGGAAAUAGAUCAAUUUAUAACAGAUGAACAAACUGCAUAAAAAGCUACAUUGCAAGAAAGAAAAGGUUAUUAUUGUUACCUGAUUAUUCUUAAUUUUUAAACUUGCAUCUUGAAGUGGUUAUGUCAUAAGAAUAAUCAGAGUG
Molecule: non-coding RNA, 254 nt
Organism: Biomphalaria pfeifferi
Lineage: Eukaryota; Metazoa; Mollusca; Gastropoda; Planorbidae
Source: the annotation of a GenBank genome assembly